UUGAACACAAUAGUCAUGAAAGAAAAGGAAAACAGAAACAGUUAGGGGUAACACAGAGUGAAAUUAGGAGGAGACUUGAAGAGAAAGAGAAGAAUCUGAAGGAGACGACGAGGACAGUGGAGGAGAUGAAGG
Molecule: long non-coding RNA, 132 nt
Organism: Polypterus senegalus (gray bichir)
Lineage: Eukaryota; Metazoa; Chordata; Cladistia; Polypteriformes; Polypteridae
Exons: 2
Source: RefSeq, a predicted model, not a curated record